Molecule: ribosomal RNA, 253 nt
Filed under: uncultured bacterium
Lineage: Bacteria
Description: partial 16S ribosomal RNA
Rfam family: Bacterial small subunit ribosomal RNA
Source: RNAcentral
UACGUAGGGUGCAAGCGUUGUCCGGAAUUAUUGGGCGUAAAGAGCUCGUAGGCGGUUUGUCGCGUCUGCUGUGAAAACUCGGGGCUUAACUCCGGGCCUGCAGUGGGUACGGGCAGACUAGAGUGCGGUAGGGGAGACUGGAAUUCCUGGUGUAGCGGUGAAAUGCGCAGAUAUCAGGAGGAACACCGGUGGCGAAGGCGGGUCUCUGGGCAGUAACUGACGCUGAGGAGCGAAAGCGUGGGGAGCGAACCGG